Mauremys mutica (yellowpond turtle) is the source of this 2638-nucleotide RNA transcript. It is a transcript of the gene named IQ motif containing K, with no coding region annotated. Lineage: Eukaryota; Metazoa; Chordata; Testudines; Geoemydidae. The record is from RefSeq and is a predicted model, not a curated record. The transcript has 10 exons.
CUGACCCGGAAGCGGAAAGCGGGGCCUGGCGCGGGCUGCUCUGGGUAACCUCCGCCUGCGGCUUGGCGGUUGCUUGGUAACCGCGCCCCUCCAUGGCUGUAGCCCAGGGACCAAAGACGCUCUGGGAGCAAAUCUGUGCUGAGUACGAUGCAGAGCAGCCUCCAUUUCCGUAUAGUCCUGAAACAAAACAAGAUUCUGUUUCUUUGGAUACAGGAAUUUUGCAGCCUUUACAUACAAAACAAUUAUACUCCGCUUCUACUGAAUGUUCCAUUGCCCCAAAAAUAUCUUCCUUACCCACGCUCGCACCGCUUCCAGCAGCACCUAAUCCAAAAACAUGUUCUCCUCGAGAAUAUUUGGAAUAUUACAUAUUUCCAAUACUUCUGCCGGGAAUGGCUGAACUUCUGCAUCAAGCAAAGAAGGAAAAGUGUUUUGAGAGAAAAAGGACCAAAUUUAUCGCCUGUGAUUUUCUGACUGAGUGGUUAUACAACCAGAAUCCAAAGAGGAAAGACGAGCCAUUCACAGAAUUCUUCUCCAUCCCUUUUGUGAAGGACUGGCUAAAGGACCACCCUAGACCACCAAUUCCUCUGUCUCUCCUAUUAUCAGAAGAAGAAGCAUGCAAAAUAAUUCAAUCAUUCUGGAGAGGUUAUCGGGUCCGCUGUGACACUGAGGUACAAGAACUGCGGCAAUGGCAAAAGCAACUGAGAGAGGACAAGAACAUUAUUAAAAGAGUGCAAGAGUUCUGGACUAAACAGGAAACCAAAGCAUGCCUUCCUGGGGCUAGCCCUUUCCAUUUUGCCAGAGCCAAACAGCUGUAGCCAUAAGGUAGCCAUUUUACAACUGGCUAUGGUUUGCUGCAUCUUCCUGUUUUCUACCUGUGGGAAGCAAAUUAGACUCAGAAGAACCUACACCAGAUCGUUCUGGAGUUUAGAUUUUGUUUCUUUCACCAACACCUCAAAAUACGGAGCUCCUGGACUGAGUUUUUUAUGGUUAUCUGAUUUGGAAAUUCUCCUAGAGUUACAUGCUUGCUUUAAUACGUGAAGUGUUGUACAUCAUGAUGGGCCACGUAAGGACCUGGUUCUGCAGUCAUUCAGCACAGCAUGGGCAAAAAUUCAGCCCUGGUGUAAGUGAACACUAUGAAAUCAGCGGAAUUGUGCCCACUUAUAACAAGAGCUGAGUUUGGCCAAAGGCUUCAUGCCCAGUCCUAAACACUCAGACAAAAGUUUCCAGCUAGAUAGAAAACUCCCAUUGAAUUAAACAGCGGUUCUGCCCAUACAAGACCUGGGUGUAAAAUGAAAGGGCAGAUUCUCAGCUGCUGUAAAUGGGCAUAUCUCCCUUGGCUUCAGUGGAGCUAUAAUAAUUUACACCAGCUAAGAAUCUACCCCAAGGGCCCAAACUGUCAGAUGUGCUGUGCAUCCACAACUCCAGCUGAAGUCAGCGAGAGCUAUGGUUGCUCAACUCUCCUUAAAAACAGUCUGAGGGCCUUGUGUUGUCAUGUGGCUGUGCCAAGAGAGUAGGAUACAUGAUUAGAGCAAAAUGGUAGCAGUUUAGACCCAUUUUUGCAUAGAUAACUACAGAAGGUGCAAAGCAAUGGGCAUGCAGGCCCUGAGUAAGGGCCUCACAGUUUGCCCCACUAUCUAUUUUGUUCCCCUAGUGGAUAUGUCAUCGGUGGGCCUUUUGCACCAGACUGAAUGUCACAUUUAGAAAAGCUAUUUACAGAGUUGACAAAUUUAAGUCUGACACAAAUCUCAUUGACUUAAAUGGUGCCUGAUAAGAUGUAUAGUCAAAACUACUAUUGGUACCAUUUCACCUAAUGUCACCAACUUGGUGGGAUACUCCACAGGCUAAUUCUGCCUCUACUAUCAGUAGGCUGUGGGGUAUUUAAAGAUUAAGGUAAACUAUAACUACAAGUUACCACAAACCUUGUAAGUAAAUAGUAAUGCCUUUAUUUUUUGUUAAGAACAGCAUUUUGAAAAUAAAACAUUUGCCCAUGCUUUACAACUUUUUUAAUUUUGUAUACUUAUAUACAGUCAUUAUGGUACACAUUGAUUGUCUUGAAAAUCCUUCAGAGGUGUACUUAAGAUAUCAGUAUGCAACAACCAGCGGGAAAAAAGGUACGUUAUAAAACACACAUUAAUACAUUUAAUAAAUAUAUAAUCUAUCAAAAAUGAGCAUUAGCUCUCCUCAAUUAAUAAAAAGCACCUGCUGGGUAAUCUUGUAAGCUGGUAGAAUAGUCCAAUUGUUUAAUUAUAAAAGUUACAGUGCUCCCUCUUGCACAGCCUUUGGUUAGACCCAAGGCAUCAAACUCAAACAUAGCCAACCAUGAUACCUGUCUGAUACUAAAUACAAACUAGCUAGCUCUGCAACAGUUGACAUCUACCUUAUUUAUAGAAACAACGGUGUGCACUUAGGGCUCCAUCCUAUAAGGUGCUAUACUUCUCUUGGGAGGUGGUAAGCACCUUCAACUUCCACCCCAGGUGGGACUGCCUCUUAAUGUAUGGCUGUGAACUGCUUUCUAGCCAUUGAAUAGAAGCCAUUUCCUACAGAAAUGUUUUCUGUAACAAAGUUUUAAAAUGUUUUAGGAUUUCAUUUUUCUGUAUCAGUAAGAGGCCAGAAGGAAAUAACCAUUAUUAAUUUUAAA